RNAcentral lists this ribosomal RNA (433 nucleotides) under uncultured bacterium. RNAcentral describes it as "partial 16S ribosomal RNA". It matches the Rfam family "Bacterial small subunit ribosomal RNA", at positions 29 to 507 of the family's 1533-position model. The record is from RNAcentral.
AGCGAACGCUGGCGGCAGGCCUAACACAUGCAAGUCGAACGAACUCUUCGGAGUUAGUGGCGGACGGGUGAGUAACACGUGGGAACGUGCCUUUUGGUUCGGAAUAACUCAGGGAAACUUGUGCUAAUACCGAAUGUGCCCUUCGGGGGUAAGAUUUAUCGCCAUUAGAGCGGCCCGCGUCUGAUUAGCUAGUUGGUGAGGUAACGGCUCACCAAGGCGACGAUCAGUAGCUGGUCUGAGAGGAUGACCAGCCACACUGGGACUGAGGCACGGCCCAGACUCGUACGGGAGGCAGCAGUGGGGAAUACUGCGCAAUGGGCGCAAGCCUGACGAAGCCAUGCCGCGUGAAUGAUGAAGGUCUUAGGAUUGUAAAAUUCUUUCACCGGGGACGAUAAUGACGGUACCCGGAGAAGAAGCCCCGGCUAACUUCGUG